GAUGAAGAACGCAGCGAAAUGCGAUACGUAGUGUGAAUUGCAGAAUUCCGUGAACCAUCGAAUCUUUGAACGCAAAUUGCGCUCGAGGCCUCGGCCAAGAGCAUGUCUGCCUCAGCGUCGGCUACUACCCUCAACUAAGUUUCCUAUACACAUAGGGGAUGCCGGUUGGAUCUGGCCGUCCGGUUUGCCUUUUAGGUUGCCGGUCAGCUGAAAUACAUUCACGCUCUGGGGGCUGCUUUCCUUCCGAGGAGAGGCGAGUUCCGAUUUGGUAGGUGACCUUUGCCGGUUGCAUGCCUUCGUUGCCCGCUAAGCUUUCCAGUAUGCGUUGUGCAGGACGCCUUUUGGCUUUCGACCUGAGGUCAGGCAAGAACACCCGCUGAACUUAAGCAUAUCAAUAAGCGGAGGA
Molecule: unclassified non-coding RNA, 406 nt
Filed under: soil metagenome
Description: partial contains 5.8S ribosomal RNA, internal transcribed spacer 2, and large subunit ribosomal RNA
Rfam family: 5.8S ribosomal RNA (bases 1-120)
Source: RNAcentral